This 515-nucleotide ribosomal RNA is filed under the name uncultured bacterium. RNAcentral describes it as "bacterial SSU rRNA". It matches the Rfam family "Bacterial small subunit ribosomal RNA", at positions 32 to 507 of the family's 1533-position model. The record is from RNAcentral.
ACAACGCUGGCGGCGUGCCUAACACAUGCAAGUCGAACGGUCUUUAACUGACCUAAUCUUCGGAAGCGGACAGCUAAAGAUAGGUGGCGGACGGGUGAGUAACGCGUGGGCAAUCUGCCCUUUAGACUGGGAUAACACCGGGAAACUGGUGCUAAUAACCGGAUAAGUUCUAACUGAGGCAUCUCAGAUAGAAGAAAGGAGGCUCCUAAGGAGCUCCCGCUAAAGGAUGAGCCCGCGUCCCAUUAGCUAGUUGGUGAGGUAACGGCUCACCAAGGCGACGAUGGGUAGCCGGCCUGAGAGGGUGGUCGGCCACACUGGGACUGAGACACGGCCCAGACUCCUACGGGAGGCAGCAGUGGGGAAUAUUGCGCAAUGGGCGAAAGCCUGACGCAGCAACGCCGCGUGAGCGAUGAAGGCCUUCGGGUUGUAAAGCUCUGUCAUUAGGGACGAAGUCUUGGAUACGAAUAGUGUCCAAGGUGACGGUACUUAAGGAGGAAGCCCCGGCUAACUACGUG